Molecule: ribosomal RNA, 534 nt
Filed under: uncultured bacterium
Lineage: Bacteria
Description: partial 16S ribosomal RNA
Rfam family: Bacterial small subunit ribosomal RNA
Source: RNAcentral
UGGGGAAUAUUGCACAAUGGGCGAAAGCCUGAUGCAGCAACGCCGCGUGAGUGAUGAAGGCCUUCGGGUUGUAAAGCUCUGUCUUUUGGGACGAUAAUGACGGUACCAAAGGAGGAAGCCACGGCUAACUACGUGCCAGCAGCCGCGGUAAUACGUAGGUGGCAAGCGUUGUCCGGAUUUACUGGGCGUAAAGGAUGCGUAGGCGGAUUUUUAAGUGAGAUGUGAAAACCCUAAGCUUAACUUGGGGACUGCAUUUCAUACUGGAAAUCUAGAGUGCGGGAGAGGAGAAUGGAAUUCCUAGUGUAGCGGUGAAAUGCGUAGAGAUUAGGAAGAACACCAGUGGCGAAGGCGAUUCUCUGGACCGUAACUGACGCUGAGGCAUGAAAGCGUGGGUAGCAAACAGGAUUAGAUACCCUGGUAGUCCACGCCGUAAACGAUGAGUACUAGGUGUAGGAGGUAUCGACCCCUUCUGUGCCGCAGUUAACACAAUAAGUACUCCGCCUGGGAAGUACGAUCGCAAGAUUAAAACUCAAA